This 467-nucleotide long non-coding RNA is filed under the name Rattus norvegicus (Norway rat). Its description in RNAcentral is "long non-coding RNA NONRATT013254". Lineage: Eukaryota; Metazoa; Chordata; Mammalia; Rodentia; Muridae. The record is from RNAcentral.
UCAAAUGCCACCACCUAAAAGGCAACCAGCUCUGGGAGUAUGACCCAGUGGAAACCACUGAUCUAAGUUCUCCCUAAGAAGAGUUGCUGGUUCUCGAUGUUUCAUUUCAGUGUGAUAUUACAGUGUGCUAGUCCAUAUGGCUGGCUUCUUUUAAAUAAGAAUAGAUAUGUAUGUGUACAUAUAUAAUAUGCAUAUAUACACAUACAUAAAGUAUAGAAUAUAUACUGUAUAGAUGUUUUACCUGCAUGUAAGACUGCACCGUUUGCAUGCCCCAUAGAGGCCAGAAGAGGGCGCUGGAUCCCUGGUACAGGGGUGACAGUUACAAGCCACCGUGAAGGAGCUAGAAAUCGAGCUUGGUCUCUCUUCAACUGCUGAGCUGUGUAUCUCCCGGCCUUUGGUUCACUGUCCUCAUAACAUACUUAGGAAUAUAAAAGCCUUAACUUGUAAUAAAAUAUGGGUUCUUUUGG